GAUGAACGCUGGCGGCGUGCCUAAUACAUGCAAGUCGAGCGAACAGAUGAGGAGCUUGCUCCUCUGACGUUAGCGGCGGACGGGUGAGUAACACGUGGAUAACCUACCUAUAAGACUGGGAUAACUUCGGGAAACCGGAGCUAAUACCGGAUAAUAUAUUGAACCGCAUGGUUCAAUAGUGAAAGACGGUUUUGCUGUCACUUAUAGAUGGAUCCGCGCCGCAUUAGCUAGUUGGUAAGGUAACGGCUUACCAAGGCAACGAUGCGUAGCCGACCUGAGAGGGUGAUCGGCCACACUGGAACUGAGUCACGGUCCAGACUCCUACGGGAGGCAGCAGUAGGGAAUCUUCCGCAAUGGGCGAAAGCCUGACGGAGCAACGCCGCGUGAGUGAUGAAGGUCUUCGGAUCGUAAAACUCUGUUAUUAGGGAAGAACAAAUGUGUAAGUAACUAUGCACGUCUUGACGGUACCUAAUCAGAAAGCCACGGCUAACUACGUG
This 497-nucleotide ribosomal RNA is filed under the name uncultured bacterium. RNAcentral describes it as "partial 16S ribosomal RNA". It matches the Rfam family "Bacterial small subunit ribosomal RNA", at positions 28 to 507 of the family's 1533-position model. The record is from RNAcentral.